CUACGGGACGCUCCAGUGGGGAAUAUUGCACAAUGGGCGCAAGCCUGAUGCAGCCAUGCCGCGUGUAUGAAGAAGGCCUUCGGGUUGUAAAGUACUUUCAGCGGGGAGGAAGGGAGUAAAGUUAAUACCUUUGCUCAUUGACGUUACCCGCAGAAGAAGCACCGGCUAACUCCGUGCCAGCAGCCGCGGUAAUACGGAGGGUGCAAGCGUUAAACGGAAUUACUGGGCGUAAAGCGGACGCAGGCGGUUUGUUAAGUCAGAUGUGAAAUCCCCGGGCUCAACCUGGGAACUGCAUCUGAUACUGGCAAGCUUGAGUCUCGUAGAGGGGGGUAGAAUUCCAGGUGUAGCGGUGAAAUGCGUAGAGAUCUGGAGGAAUACCGGUGGCGAAGGCGGCCCCCUGGACGAAGACUGACGCUCAGGUGCGAAAGCGUGGGAGCAAACAGGAUUAGAUACCCUGGUAGUC
This 463-nucleotide ribosomal RNA is filed under the name uncultured bacterium. Its description in RNAcentral is "partial 16S ribosomal RNA". It matches the Rfam family "Bacterial small subunit ribosomal RNA", at positions 339 to 795 of the family's 1533-position model. The record is from RNAcentral.